RNAcentral lists this ribosomal RNA (495 nucleotides) under uncultured bacterium. RNAcentral describes it as "partial 16S ribosomal RNA". It matches the Rfam family "Bacterial small subunit ribosomal RNA", at positions 28 to 507 of the family's 1533-position model. The record is from RNAcentral.
GACGAACGCUGGCGGCGUGCCUAAUACAUGCAAGUAGAACGCUGAAGGAGGAGCUUGCUUCUCUGGAUGAGUUGCGAACGGGUGAGUAACGCGUAGGUAACCUGCCUGGUAGCGGGGGAUAACUAUUGGAAACGAUAGCUAAUACCGCAUAAUAGCAGUUGUUGCAUGACAACUGUUUGAAAGGUGCAAUUGCACCACUACCAGAUGGACCUGCGUUGUAUUAGCUAGUUGGUGGGGUAACGGCUCACCAAGGCGACGAUACAUAGCCGACCUGAGAGGGUGAUCGGCCACACUGGGACUGGGACACGGCCCAGACUCCUACGGGAGGCAGCAGUAGGGAAUCUUCGGCAAUGGACGGAAGUCUGACCGAGCAACGCCGCGUGAGUGAAGAAGGGUUUCGGAUCGGAAAGCUCUGUUGUAAGAGAAGAACGAGUGUGAGAGUGGAAAGUUCACACUGUGACGGUAUCUUACCAGAAAGGGACGGCUAACUACGUG